AAGGGGACUCAGUAAUUCCAGAUUUGACUCCUGGUCCGCGCUAAUUGCGAGCUAAUCCCAGCUACGGCCACGAUAAAUCGGGUCCGAUCGACCUCGAGGGAUCCGGGUUAGAGAGGAACUUCAGCAGACGGUGUUCUUACUCCUGAUUGCUCUCCGGUGAAACCCGCUGGAAAGUGUAUAUGUGCUGCCAAUCUCGUCAGGAUCUGAUGGACCGGAGGUUUUGACGUUGCCUGGUGGCUGAAUGGGGUUUCCGAUCGCUAUUCGAGCGCGGUGCACCUUCCAUUCCAACAAUCUAUCACUGAGAUUUCCACGUCGAGUUGGGCUGUAUGGAAUCCUGUUUGGUUUGGAUGCUCUUUAAGUGUGGUGGUGGGUAUCCACACGGGUCAGACACCCGGCUGACUGAAAUAAAAUCGCGAUUCGAUGACCUCCCCCCUUGCUGGAAGGUGCCAACAUGUAAUUUCCAGCUUUUAAAACGACCAGACUGGACGUGCACCGUAUUCGCAAGCAAAACACUUCCUUUUGAAGUUGAAACAAGAAGCAAUGCGUUUUUCUUACCCCCUCAAGAUGAACGUCAUUCGGUUUCUUGAGCUCCAGCAAAGGAGCUUUACUGCAGUUCACAUGGAGGCACACGUUGUGUGUGGCAUGUACAGUAUGGGUACUCAAUGGGAGCAGUAAAGCUUUACUGCUUACAUAGCAAGUGAUCAUCAUUCUCCCACCAGUGAGGUAAGACAAAGUGGAUCUGACAUUCCGACCAGUUUUAGCCUGGGAGACCAGCCUGACUUAAAAAUUGUCACUUCGCUCAUAAUUGUGGAAAAUUAAAUCAAAUUGGGUCUUAAUU
This is a long non-coding RNA of Callorhinchus milii (elephant shark), 838 nucleotides long. RefSeq lists it as uncharacterized. The transcript has 3 exons. Lineage: Eukaryota; Metazoa; Chordata; Chondrichthyes; Chimaeriformes; Callorhinchidae. The record is from RefSeq and is a predicted model, not a curated record.